RNAcentral lists this unclassified non-coding RNA (336 nucleotides) under uncultured Mortierellaceae. RNAcentral's name for it is "sequence contains ITS2". The stretch from base 1 to 52 matches the Rfam family "5.8S ribosomal RNA", at positions 103 to 154 of the family's 154-position model. The record is from RNAcentral. Lineage: Eukaryota; Fungi; Mortierellomycota; Mortierellomycetes; Mortierellales; Mortierellaceae.
AACGCAUAUUGCGCUCUCUGGUAUUCCGGAGAGCAUGCUUGUUUGAGUAUCAGUAAACACCUCAACUCUAUUUCUUCUUGAAAUGGAGCUGGACUUGAGUGAUCCCAACGCUUUUUUCAAAAGUGGCGGGUUACUUGAAAUGCAGGUGCAGCUGGACUUUUCUCUGAGCUAAAAGCAUAUCUAUUUAGUCUGCCUAAAAAACAGAUUAUUACCUUUGCUGCAGCUAACAUAAAGGAGAUUAGUUCUUGUGCUGACUGAUGCAGGAUUCACAGAGACCGCUUCGGCUGUCUUUGUAAACUCGAUCUCAAAUCAAGUAAGACUACCCGCUGAACUUAA